Molecule: long non-coding RNA, 419 nt
Organism: Salvia splendens (bonfire salvia)
Lineage: Eukaryota; Viridiplantae; Streptophyta; Magnoliopsida; Lamiales; Lamiaceae
Exons: 3
Source: RefSeq, a predicted model, not a curated record
AUGGAGUUGACAUGAACAGUUGGCUUUGUUGGAACUAUUUGGCCAUUUCAGUUAAGAAACAGAUUCAAAGGGUUAAGAAAUAAGGUUGAGCUAAAUGCUAAUACUGUUAAGGUACAAUGAAUGAAUUACAGGGCUAGCUUGCUGUAAGAUAGGCCUAAAAAUGGUUAUAUUUGUUGAGACAUUUAUGAGCUAAAGAUGAAAACUCUUAUUCCAUAAAUGGAUAGGCUAAGGGCAAAAUUAGAGCAGCUGCUGAGAUAUACGAAUUGAUACGACUUCACCGCCUUUCCCGGCCCUCAUUGCAUGUACUGCUACUAUUUCAGAGAGUAAAAAAUGGGAAUGGUACCUUCAUUCUCUUGCAAAUUAGUGUUUACUGCAACCGCAUGAAGAGUUAUCUUAGUUUUUGGUUGCCGGUCCAUUCG